AGUCCUCUAUGAUAGUCGCCAGUAGGUUCAGCAUUUUUGAACCGAUAAUCAUUAUCCAGGGAAUGGUUGUAGUCAUCGCUGUUGUGCAUACCCGCAUAUUGCGGGAAGCCUGAUGCGGUGCUCGCCUGUCCCACUUGAACCCCCAGGGUUCAUAACAGCGCCUGCAGCGAUAUCAUGGAGGUUUC
Molecule: non-coding RNA, 185 nt
Filed under: Coxiella sp. RIFCSPHIGHO2_12_FULL_42_15
Lineage: Bacteria; Pseudomonadati; Pseudomonadota; Gammaproteobacteria; Legionellales; Coxiellaceae
Description: 6S RNA
Rfam family: 6S / SsrS RNA
About the family: E. coli 6S RNA was the first non coding RNA to be sequenced, but its function was unknown until recently. It consists of 184 nucleotides that fold into an extended hairpin structure with a large single-stranded internal bulge.
Source: RNAcentral